UCGUGUCUUCCUUGUGAUUUUUGACUUAUUUCUGGGGUUAUAUUCUAUAUAGACAAAGACAAGUUAAUGAUAUCUUCCCUAGUUAUGGUUGCACCUUUUUUACUUGCAUUUGUGCAACAGAUGCCUCUUCUGUUUUUGUUGUUUUCCACAUCAAUUAGAUGAUUGUCUAUCACCCACCUUCACCCCAAUCACAGUCAUUGUCCUGUUCCAUGGAAAAUGCAAAUUUCCCAUGCUUGCUGUUUGAUUUCCAGCUGUGGUUAUGGG
RNAcentral lists this long non-coding RNA (264 nucleotides) under Solanum tuberosum (potato). Its description in RNAcentral is "long non-coding RNA (STUB_LNC002426)". The record is from RNAcentral. Lineage: Eukaryota; Viridiplantae; Streptophyta; Magnoliopsida; Solanales; Solanaceae.